Non-coding RNA from Misgurnus anguillicaudatus (oriental weatherfish), 1094 nucleotides. The record is from RefSeq and is a predicted model, not a curated record. Lineage: Eukaryota; Metazoa; Chordata; Actinopteri; Cypriniformes; Cobitidae.
AGGUUUAAAAGUGCCCACUGUUGAAACACAUCUGAUCUCAUCUGAAAGCUGAUUCCAGCUACAGAUUUUAAAGUGCCUACUGUGGAAACACGUCUGAUCUCAUCUGAAAGCUGAUUCCAGCUACAGGUUUAAACGUGCCCACUGUGGAAACACAUCUGAUCUCAUUUGAAAGCUGAUUCCAGCUACAGGUUUAAAAGUGCCCACUGUUGGAACACAUCUGAUCUCAUUUGAAAGCUGAUUCCAGCUACAGGUUCAUACUGUUGUAUUCUUUUAUACUGUUAUAUUCGUACCGUUUUAAAUCAUUCAGUAAAUGCAAAGUUAAACCGAUGUGUUUUUAAUCUAGAUCUAAAAGUGUCUUCUGUUGAAACACAUCUGAUCUCUUCUGAAAGCUGAUUCCAGCUACACUGUAAAAAAAUUCCGUAGAAAUUGCAGCUGGGUUGCCGGUAAUUUACCGUAGAUUUAAAUUUAUGUUUUUUACUGGCAACAUUUUGUUCAAAGUUAAAUGAACAUGAAACAUUUACAAGUCUUUGUCUUUACAGAGUAAAACUAAAAAAACAGCAUCAAGCAAAACAUUCUGGGAAACAAAAUCUGAAGCAAAAAUUAGAAAAAGGUUGAUGAUGAUUUCUGGUUCCCAGAAUGCUUUGCAUGACUCUGUUAUUGUAUAGUUUUAUUCUGUAAAGAUAAAGACUUGUUAAUAUUAAAAAUUUAUUUAACUUUAAACAAACUCUUGCCAGUAAAUUACAUAAAUGUUAAUCUACGGUAAAUUACCGGCAACCCAGCUGCAAUACCAUUGUAAUUUAUACGGAAUUUUUUUACAGUGUACAGGUUCAUACUGUUGUAUUCUUUAUACUGUUUUAUUCGUACUGUUUUAAAUCAUUCAGUAAAUGCAAAGUUAAACCGAUGUGUCUUUAAUCUAGGUUUAAAAGUGCCCACUGUUGAAACACAUCUGAUCUCAUCUGAAAGCUGAUUCCAGCUACAGGUUUAUACUGUUGUAUUCUUUUAUACUGUUUCAUUCGUACUGUUUUAAAUCCUUCAGUCAAUGCAAAGUUAAACCGAUGUGUUUUUAAUCUAGAUUUAAAAGUGCCUACUGUGGA